Molecule: ribosomal RNA, 247 nt
Filed under: uncultured Azospira sp.
Lineage: Bacteria; Pseudomonadati; Pseudomonadota; Betaproteobacteria; Rhodocyclales; Rhodocyclaceae
Description: partial 16S ribosomal RNA
Rfam family: Bacterial small subunit ribosomal RNA
Source: RNAcentral
GUAGGGUGCGAGCGUUAAUCGGAAUUACUGGGCGUAAAGCGUGCGCAGGCGGUUUCGUAAGACAGACGUGAAAUCCCCGGGCUCAACCUGGGAACUGCGUUUGUGACUGCGAGGCUAGAGUACGGCAGAGGGGGGUAGAAUUCCACGUGUAGCAGUGAAAUGCGUAGAGAUGUGGAGGAAUACCGAUGGCGAAGGCAGCCCCCUGGGUUAGUACUGACGCUCAUGCACGAAAGCGUGGGGAGCAAAC